RNAcentral lists this RNase P RNA (410 nucleotides) under Sphingobium nicotianae. RNAcentral's name for it is "Bacterial RNase P class A". It matches the Rfam family "Bacterial RNase P class A". Rfam says of the family: Ribonuclease P (RNase P) is a ubiquitous endoribonuclease, found in archaea, bacteria and eukarya as well as chloroplasts and mitochondria. Its best characterised activity is the generation of mature 5'-ends of tRNAs by cleaving the 5'-leader elements of precursor-tRNAs. The record is from Rfam by way of RNAcentral. Lineage: Bacteria; Pseudomonadati; Pseudomonadota; Alphaproteobacteria; Sphingomonadales; Sphingobiaceae.
CCAGGCGGCCGGGCGAUCGCGGCGGUGCUUGCACCGGCGAGGAAAGUCCGGGCUCCACGAAACGACGGUGCCGGAUAACGUCCGGCGGCUUCCCUCGCGGGGAGUCAGGGACAGUGCAACAGAGAGCAGGUCACGAAGACUUCGGUCCCGUGAACAGUGAAAGGGUGCGGUAAGAGCGCACCGCGCCCCCGGCAACGGCGGGCGGCGAGGUAAACCCCACCGGGAGCAAGACCGAAUAGGGGCGGCGCGCGACUCACGUCGCAGGGCAUGUUUCUGCCCAGUCGCCCGGGUUGGUUGCUUGAGGCGUCCGGCAACGGCCGCCCUAGAGGAAUGAUCGCCCAUCCGCCCGCGCGUCCCGCAAGGGAUACGGCGGCGGUGGACAGAACCCGGCUUACAGGCCGCCUGGCAAA